Molecule: long non-coding RNA, 1166 nt
Organism: Ziziphus jujuba (common jujube)
Lineage: Eukaryota; Viridiplantae; Streptophyta; Magnoliopsida; Rosales; Rhamnaceae
Exons: 2
Source: RefSeq, a predicted model, not a curated record
UCAAAACGUAACUAUUGUUAUAUUUAAAUUAUUUUCGUUGUACAUUUAAAUAAUAUAAAAUUACUUAUUAAUUUUAUCUUUUUUAUCUCAUAUUUUUUAAAAUUUACAGGUUUUACUAUCCAUCAUUUUUUUUAUUUGCUCACUAAUCUUAUCUUUGUUUACUUUAGCAUUUUUCAAAGCCCAAAUUUUACAGUGUAAUUGUCGAGUAGGAGGAGAGGCCAGAUUGGCUAUUUCCAACAAUCUAAGAUGAUAUUUGCUGUCUUCAUCGAUUAAUUCACUCAAUUUUUUUCUUUAAUAAAAGUUAAGCUUUUUAUUUGUAUUAAAAAAAAAAAAAAACUUAUAUAUGAAUCCAAAAAUAUCUCUAUCACCUUUUCACUGUAACUUUCCAACAUUACCCUUUCUCAAAUAUCAAAUGCCCUUGUAAAACACAUCAAACUUUCCGGCGAACUCGAAGUCCACAGCCGGUCAAACUCUCCAGUGACUCUCUUCCAAUCACACUUCGCCACACCGCCAGCACUAUUGGAUUCAGAAUCUAACGAUUUACACCGUCGUUCAAGUUCGCCACUGGUUAGUGCGGGGAGAUAAGGAAUCAUUGAUAAGAAGGGAAGAGAAAAUCUUUGGAAUCGGACUGAGGGUGUUGUUAAUGGCGUCAUCUCUGAUUUCAAAUCCAGUAAUGAACUUUGAUCAAGUACCGAAGUAAAAGAAGAAGAAAGUUCUACAAACACACGAUGAUCAAAAGCCACACCCAUCCGUGCUGGCAAUCUGAAACAACAGCAAAUCUACUCUUUCAAGCUUCUUCAAGCCUUGAAACAGGUCAACCUCAGCUCCUCCAGCGUCAUCGAGCCGCCACGCAGUGGUAAAGCCAUCUGCGAGGCAGCCGACAGAGCCUUGGCUGUCGCUUUCAAGGGGAGGACCCGGUGGAGCUGAGCCUUACUGACCAACCGGAGAUAGAGAGCUCCAACGGAGACGAUCAACAAGGAGGGGGAAGAUGGAGGGGAGUAAUUUACCAUAUUAACCUUUAGCUCCUGUUACUAGUAUGGGUAAAUUUGUCGUUCUAAAUCUUAUGCCAAGUAGAUGUAAUGUCAUUUUCAUAUUUAUAUGUUCUAAAUAAAAAUAAAAAUAAAUAAAUAAAGAAAAAAGACGAACAAACAUAUCAUUUGUCCUUA